CGGGCGGGGGAGCAAUGUCUGGGAAACUGCCCGAUGGAGGGGGAUAACUACUGGAAACGGUAGCUAAUACCGCAUAACGUCGCAAGACCAAAGAGGGGGACCUUAGGGCCUCUUGCCAUCGGAUGUGCCCAGAUGGGAUUAGCUAGUAGGUGGGGUAACGGCUCACCUAGGCGACGAUCCCUAGCUGGUCUGAGAGGAUGACCAGCCACACUGGAACUGAGACACGGUCCAG
Molecule: ribosomal RNA, 232 nt
Filed under: uncultured bacterium
Lineage: Bacteria
Description: partial 16S ribosomal RNA
Rfam family: Bacterial small subunit ribosomal RNA
Source: RNAcentral